RNAcentral lists this ribosomal RNA (427 nucleotides) under uncultured bacterium. Its description in RNAcentral is "bacterial SSU rRNA". It matches the Rfam family "Bacterial small subunit ribosomal RNA", at positions 355 to 774 of the family's 1533-position model. The record is from RNAcentral.
UGGGGAAUUUUGGACAAUGGGCGCAAGCCUGAUCCAGCAAUGCCGCGUGUGUGAAGAAGGCCUUCGGGUUGUAAAGCACUUUUGUCCGGAAAGAAAUCCGUCUGGCUAAUACCCGGACGGGAUGACGGUACCGGAAGAGUAAGCACCGGCUAACUACGUGCCAGCAGCCGCGGUAAUACGUAGGGUGCGAGCGUUAAUCGGAAUUACUGGGCGUAAAGCGUGCGCAGGCGGCUUUGUAAGACAGAUGUGAAAUCCCCGGGCUCAACCUGGGAACUGCAUUUGUGACUGCAAGGCUAGAGUGCGUCAGAGGGAGGUGGAAGUCCGCGUGUAGCAGUGAAAUGCGUAGAGAUGCGGAGGAACACCGAUGGCGAAGGCAGCCUCCUGGGAUGACACUGACGCUCAUGCACGAAAGCGUGGGGAGCAAACA